CGGAUUUAUUGGGCGUAAGCGAGCGCAGGCGGUUAUUUAAGUCUGAUGUGAAAGCCUUCGGCUUAACCGAAGAAGUGCAUCGGAAACUGGGUAACUUGAGUGCAGAAGAGGACAGUGGAACUCCAUGUGUAGCGGUGGAAUGCGUAGAUAUAUGGAAGAACACCAGUGGCGAAGGCGGCUGUCUAGUCUGUAACUGACGCUGAGGCUCGAAAGCAUGGGUAGCGAACAGGAUUAGAUACCCUGGUAGUCCAUGCCGUAAACGAUGAGUGCUAAGUGUUGGAGGGUUUCCGCCCUUCAGUGCUGCAGCUAACGCAUUAAGCACUCCGCCUGGGGAGUACGACCGCAAGGUUGAAACUCAAAGGAAUUGACGGGGGCCCGCACAAGCGGUGGAGCAUGUGGUUUAAUUCGAAGCUACGCGAAGAACCUUACCAGGUCUUGACAUCUUCUGCCAAUCUUAGAGAUAAGACGUUCCCUUCGGGGACAGAAUGACAGGUGGUGCAUGGUUGUCGUCAGCUCGUGUCGUGAGAUGUUGGGUUAAGUCCCGCAACGAGCGCAACCCUUAUUAUCAGUUGCCAGCAUUYAGUUGGGCACUCUGGUGAGACUGCCGGUGACAAACCGGAGGAAGGUGGGGAUGACGUCAAAUCAUCAUGCCCCUUAUGACCUGGGCUACACACGUGCUACAAUGGACGGUACAACGAGUUGCGAAGUCGUGAGGCCAAGCUAAUCUCUUAAAGCCGUUCUCAGUUCGGAUUGUAGGCUGCAACUCGCCUACAUGAAGUUGGAAUCGCUAGUAAUCGCGGAUCAGCAUGCCGCGGUGAAUACGUUCCCGGGCCUUGUACACACCGCCCGUCACACCAUGAGAGUUUGUAACACCCAAAGCCGGUGGGGUAACCUUCGGGAGCCAGCCGUCUAA
This 913-nucleotide ribosomal RNA is filed under the name Levilactobacillus zymae. RNAcentral describes it as "bacterial SSU rRNA". It matches the Rfam family "Bacterial small subunit ribosomal RNA", at positions 546 to 1460 of the family's 1533-position model. The record is from RNAcentral. Lineage: Bacteria; Bacillati; Bacillota; Bacilli; Lactobacillales; Lactobacillaceae.